GAGGAAAUGAAUUUUGAAGUUGAGACAAAAAUGGGAGUGCCGUUAGCAAUUGCGUUAAAAUGUCUCUUCGCCAUAUUGGGAUGUUUGGUUACAGGCAUCGUAAUCUACACUAUCGCCAUUGAUGGCUUCUCGUUCGUCAUCUCCCCGUUGAUGGCAGCAACGACGAUAGAUUCUUACAUCCAUGUGUUUCUAAUAUGGUCCUGGGUUGUCUACAAGGAAGCAAACUGGAUUACUGCAAUACCUUGAGCGGUGUUGCUAGUAUGUUUUAGAAGCAUUACUAUAUGUGGCUACAUUCUAUUGCAGUUCCUGAAGCUUUCAACUCAGGAAUCUUUACAGGAUCCAGUUUACUUUGUCCUAUUACAACGCCAGAAAAAGACUGAAACAGAACAAUGGAGGAAGUAUUCUCUUUUAACUGCAAGAAUUCUGUCUCUUGCUUUGGGCAGUCUGAUGCUAGGGACACUGAUUUACAUCCUUGUAACUUAUGGUUCUCCAUUUCGCAGAGAUGCUUUCACUCCGUAGAUGUCAGCAACACUAAUUGAUUACUUCGUCAUUGUUAUUGCUCUCUCGGUCUGGGUAGCAUAUAAGGAAUCAAGUAGGCUAAGUGCAGCUUUUUGGAUCAUACCAAUUAUUUUGUGUGGCAGCCCCAUCACAUGUUCCUAUAUUGCUCUUCAGCUUUUCAGUCUCUCAUCUCAAGAUCCCGUCUACCUUGUUCUUUUCAGCAGCCACAACA
This is a long non-coding RNA of Solanum tuberosum (potato), 730 nucleotides long. RefSeq lists it as uncharacterized. The transcript is spliced from 8 exons. Lineage: Eukaryota; Viridiplantae; Streptophyta; Magnoliopsida; Solanales; Solanaceae. The record is from RefSeq and is a predicted model, not a curated record.